This 253-nucleotide ribosomal RNA is filed under the name uncultured bacterium. Its description in RNAcentral is "partial 16S ribosomal RNA". It matches the Rfam family "Bacterial small subunit ribosomal RNA", at positions 524 to 776 of the family's 1533-position model. The record is from RNAcentral.
UACGGAGGGUGCAAGCGUUAUCCGGAUUCAUUGGGUUUAAAGGGAGCGUAGGUGGCCUUGUAAGUCAGUGGUGAAAUCCUGUCGCUUAACGAUAGAAUUGCCAUUGAUACUGCAGGGCUUGAGUACAGUUGCCGUUGGCGGAAUAUGACAUGUAGUGGUGAAAUACAUAGAUAUGUCAUAGAACACCGAUUGCGAAGGCAGCUGACGAAACUGUAACUGACACUGAGGCUCGAAAGUGUGGGGAUCAAACAGG